UACGGAGGAUGCGAGCGUUAUCCGGAUUUAUUGGGUUUAAAGGGUGCGCAGGCGGAUUUUUAAGUCAGCGGUCAAAUCGUGGGGCUCAACCCCAUCCAGCCGUUGAAACUGGGGAUCUAGAGUGUGCGAGAGGUAUGCGGAAUGCGUGGUGUAGCGGUGAAAUGCAUAGAUAUCACGCAGAACCCCGAUUGCGAAGGCAGCAUACCGGUGCACAACUGACGCUCAGGCAC
This 230-nucleotide ribosomal RNA is filed under the name uncultured microorganism. RNAcentral's name for it is "partial 16S ribosomal RNA". It matches the Rfam family "Bacterial small subunit ribosomal RNA", at positions 524 to 754 of the family's 1533-position model. The record is from RNAcentral.